This 373-nucleotide long non-coding RNA is filed under the name Junco hyemalis (dark-eyed junco). Its description in RNAcentral is "lncRNA (ENSJHYG00000015267.1)". The record is from RNAcentral. Lineage: Eukaryota; Metazoa; Chordata; Aves; Passeriformes; Passerellidae.
CAGCGAUGUUGCGGCAGCUGGUGUCUCUGGUGUCACGGCGGCGACUUGUGUCUGGGCGCGGCUUCCGUGAAGCGCGCUCUGCUGAUGGUUUCUCGACUGGCGCUUACAAGCAGUGGUGUUGUGGGAGCUGGAUCGGCAGUGUUGACACUAUACACUAGUGGCUCUGCAGGCUCGGCGUGCGUGUCUUUCAGAGCUGCACUGACAAGGGAGGCGCAGACGGUUCUGCAAUAUUUAUAGGCACAUCUUCUACACUAUUAUGCUGGGGAUUUUUAGCUUUCUAGGCUUCGGCGGUACGUAGAUGGCUUGAGUCACAGAUGUGAUCUUCAAGGGUGCUUUUUUUUUUUUAUAAAUAAACCGGCACCUCCUGGCUGCA